Tachyglossus aculeatus (Australian echidna) is the source of this 138-nucleotide small nucleolar RNA. NCBI's taxonomy places the organism in Eukaryota, Metazoa, Chordata, Mammalia, Monotremata, Tachyglossidae. The record is from RefSeq and is a predicted model, not a curated record.
ACCCUCUCAGGGUGGCACCUGGAGAGUUUCCAGUCCUCUACCAGUCUCCAAUAUGGAAGGGAGAGUCAAGCAGGAGCCUACCCAUUCCAUUCCUAACUUGGGCAGUGGCUAGCGAGUGGAAGGCAAUCUGUUACAAGU